AUGGCCUCGAGCUCCCUCCCGCUCCUCGCCCUCCUGGCCCUGCUGGCCCUGCCAGGGCUCCGGGCGGCCGUGACCCUGCUGGAGUCCGGGGGGGACCUCCAGCCCCCCGGGGGGUCCCUGACUCUGCUCUGUCGCGGGUCUGGAUUUGAUUUUGGGCGUUUUGGAAUAGUCUGGGUUCGGCAGAGCCCCGGGAAGGCGCUGGAAUGGCUCGCAGGGAUCAGCAAUGGUGGCAGCACCCACUAUGCGCCAUCACUCAAGGGCCGGGUCACGAUCUCCAGGGACAACGGGCAGAGCUCGGUGACACUGACCAUGAGGGAUCUCAAGGACGACGAUUCUGGCUCCUAUUUCUGCGCCAAACGUGCUGGUGCUGCUGGUGAUAACACUGCUGCUAAUCAUGUUGAUGGCCCUGGGUCCAAAGUUGAGCUUUGA
Molecule: non-coding RNA, 429 nt
Organism: Oenanthe melanoleuca
Lineage: Eukaryota; Metazoa; Chordata; Aves; Passeriformes; Muscicapidae
Source: the annotation of a RefSeq genome assembly